UACGUAGGAUGCAAGCGUUGUCCGGAUUUACUGGGCGUAAAGGGCGCGUAGGCGGCGUGGUAAGUCACUUGUGAAAUCUCUGAGCUUAACUCAGAACGGCCAAGUGAUACUGCUGUGCUAGAGUGCAGAAGGGGCAAUCGGAAUUCUUGGUGUAGCGGUGAAAUGCGUAGAUAUCAAGAGGAACACCUGAGGUGAAGACGGGUUGCUGGGCUGACACUGACGCUGAGGCGCGAAAGCCAGGGGAGCAAACGGG
RNAcentral lists this ribosomal RNA (253 nucleotides) under uncultured bacterium. RNAcentral describes it as "partial 16S ribosomal RNA". It matches the Rfam family "Bacterial small subunit ribosomal RNA", at positions 524 to 776 of the family's 1533-position model. The record is from RNAcentral.